This 445-nucleotide ribosomal RNA is filed under the name uncultured bacterium. RNAcentral's name for it is "partial 16S ribosomal RNA". It matches the Rfam family "Bacterial small subunit ribosomal RNA", at positions 354 to 796 of the family's 1533-position model. The record is from RNAcentral.
GUGAGGAAUAUUGGACAAUGGGCGCAAGCCUGAUCCAGCCAUGCCGCGUGCAGGAAGACGCAUCUAUGGUGUGUAAACUGCUUUUGUACGGGAAGAAACACUCCCUCGUGAGGGAGCUUGACGGUACCGUAAGAAUAAGGAUCGGCUAACUCCGUGCCAGCAGCCGCGGUAAUACGGAGGAUCCAAGCGUUAUCCGGAAUCAUUGGGUUUAAAGGGUCCGUAGGCGGUUUAAUAAGUCAGUGGUGAAAGCCCAUCGCUCAACGAUGGAACGGCCAUUGAUACUGUUAGACUUGAAUUACAAGGAAGUAACUAGAAUAUGUAGUGUAGCGGUGAAAUGCUUAGAUAUUACAUGGAAUACCAAUUGCGAAGGCAGGUUACCAACCCAUUACUGACGCUGAGGCACGAAAGCGUGGGGAUCAAACAGGAUUAGAUACCCCAGUAGUCC